Molecule: ribosomal RNA, 326 nt
Filed under: uncultured eukaryote
Lineage: Eukaryota
Description: partial 18S ribosomal RNA
Rfam family: Eukaryotic small subunit ribosomal RNA
Source: RNAcentral
CCCUUAGAUGUUCUGGGCUGCACGCGCGCUACACUGAUGCGCUCAACGAGUUUACGACCUUGCCCGGAAGGGUUGGGUAAUCUUUUUAAAACGCAUCGUGAUGGGGAUAGAUUAUUGCAAUUAUUAAUCUUUAACGAGGAAUUCCUAGUAAGCGCGAGUCAUCGGCUCGUGCUGAUUACGUCCCUGCCCUUUGUACACACCGCCCGUCGCUCCUACCGAUUGAGUGGUCCGGUGAAUAAUUCGGACUGCAGCAGUGUUCAGUUCCUGAACGUUGCAGCGGAAAGUUUAGUGAACCUUAUCACUUAGAGGAAGGAGAAGUCGUAACA